UACGAAGGGGGCUAGCGUUGUUCGGAAUUACUGGGCGUAAAGCGCACGUAGGCGGGUUAUUAAGUCAGGGGUGAAAUCCCGGAGCUCAACUCCGGAACUGCCUUUGAUACUGGUAAUCUAGAGAUCGGAAGAGGUUAGUGGAAUUCCCAGUGUAGAGGUGAAAUUCGUAGAUAUUGGGAAGGACACCAGUGGCGAAGGCGGCUAACUGGUCCGAUACUGACGCUGAGGUGCGAAAGCGUGGGGAGCAAACAGG
RNAcentral lists this ribosomal RNA (253 nucleotides) under uncultured bacterium. RNAcentral describes it as "partial 16S ribosomal RNA". It matches the Rfam family "Bacterial small subunit ribosomal RNA", at positions 524 to 776 of the family's 1533-position model. The record is from RNAcentral.